This 253-nucleotide ribosomal RNA is filed under the name uncultured bacterium. RNAcentral describes it as "partial 16S ribosomal RNA". It matches the Rfam family "Bacterial small subunit ribosomal RNA", at positions 524 to 776 of the family's 1533-position model. The record is from RNAcentral.
UACGGGGGGGGCAAGCGUUGUUCGGAAUUACUGGGCGUAAAGGGCUCGUAGGCGGCCAACUAAGUCAUACGUGAAAUCCCUCGGCUUAACCGGGGAACUGCGUCUGAUACUGGAUGGCUUGAGUUCGGGAGAGGGAUGCGGAAUUCCAGGUGUAGCGGUGAAAUGCGUAGAUAUCUGGAGGAACACCGGUGGCGAAGGCGGCAUCCUGGACCGACAUUGACGCUGAGGCGCGAAAGCCAGGGGAGCAAACGGG